GAAAAGAAAUUCUUUGGGGAAGAAAUUGAUGCCUCUAAGAUCAAACUUGAGGAAGUUCAAUAGAUAGAAUCGACACAAUCUAGCGAACCCACAGAACUAGAUUUGAUGAUGUCAAAUCAGAAACUUAUUAUAGAGAUGCCAUUAAGGAGACCGAUAGAGUAUCACGUCAACCGGAUAGAUGCUAUAGUUUUUUUAUCUAGAACGGAGAUCCUAUUGAACUUGAUAAGAAUAAUGAGGAUCCGAUCACCUAUAUGAAUGCAAUGUAGAGGUCCGACUCUGAUAAAUAGCUUGAAGCCAUGAAAUUCAAAAUGGAGUCCAUGAAGGUCAAUGAUGCGUGGACAUUAAUUGACCCACCUUAAGGGGUUAAACCUAUAGGAUAUAAGUAG
Molecule: long non-coding RNA, 386 nt
Filed under: Elaeis guineensis (African oil palm)
Lineage: Eukaryota; Viridiplantae; Streptophyta; Magnoliopsida; Arecales; Arecaceae
Description: long non-coding RNA (EGUI_LNC044705)
Source: RNAcentral